GGUGGGUUGCCGGAGCGGUCAAAACGGAGCCGCCUGUAAAGCGGCCGGCACUGCCUUCGCUGGUUCGAAUCCAGCACCCACCA
RNAcentral lists this transfer RNA (83 nucleotides) under Bifidobacterium pullorum subsp. saeculare. Its description in RNAcentral is "tRNA-Tyr". It matches the Rfam family "tRNA". From Rfam's summary of the family: Transfer RNA (tRNA) molecules are approximately 80 nucleotides in length. Their secondary structure includes four short double-helical elements and three loops (D, anti-codon, and T loops). The record is from RNAcentral. Lineage: Bacteria; Bacillati; Actinomycetota; Actinomycetes; Bifidobacteriales; Bifidobacteriaceae.